AACGAACGCUGGCGGCAGGCCUAACACAUGCAAGUCGAGCGAACCCUUCGGGGUUAGCGGCGGACGGGUUAGUAACGCGUGGGAAUAUACCCUUUGGUACGGAAUAGCCUCGGGAAACUGAGAGUAAUACCGUAUGUGCCCUUGGGGAAGAUUAUCGCCAAAGGAUUAGCCCGCGUUGGAUUAGAUAGUUGGUGGGGUAAUGGCCUACCAAGUCUACGAUCCAUAGCUGGUUUGAGAGGAUGAUCAGCAACACUGGGACUGAGACACGGCCCAGACUCCUACGGGAGGCAGCAGUGGGGAAUCUUAGACAAUGGGCGCAAGCCUGAUCUAGCCAUGCCGCGUGGACGAUGAAGGGCCUUAGGGUUGUAAAGUCCUUUCAGAUGGAAGGAUAAUGACGGUACCAUCAGAAGAAGCCCCGGCUAACUACCGUGCCAGCAGCCGCGGUAAAGU
This 450-nucleotide ribosomal RNA is filed under the name uncultured bacterium. RNAcentral describes it as "bacterial SSU rRNA". It matches the Rfam family "Bacterial small subunit ribosomal RNA", at positions 29 to 526 of the family's 1533-position model. The record is from RNAcentral.